GAAUACCUUGAAAGCCUCGCUGAUCUCCCCCAUUCAAAACAAGAAACAAAUGAGAUGAUAUAUAGCUCUCUACAACAACAACCUCCCCAAAUCUCAAUAUUCUUUCCUCAAAUCUCUCCAAAUAUCCCUCAUCAAUUCUCUCUAUUACUAGUUCAAACUCCAUUCAAACUCCCCCUUAGCUAUGUUUCAGUCCAACUCCA
This 200-nucleotide long non-coding RNA is filed under the name Gossypium raimondii (Peruvian cotton). Its description in RNAcentral is "long non-coding RNA (GRAI_LNC008394)". The record is from RNAcentral. Lineage: Eukaryota; Viridiplantae; Streptophyta; Magnoliopsida; Malvales; Malvaceae.